Molecule: RNA transcript, 1093 nt
Organism: Vigna unguiculata (cowpea)
Lineage: Eukaryota; Viridiplantae; Streptophyta; Magnoliopsida; Fabales; Fabaceae
Gene name: Sec14p-like phosphatidylinositol transfer family protein
Source: RefSeq, a predicted model, not a curated record
GAAUUGACUCUUCUUUCUUCGAGUCUUGUUUCUCUAUAUAUGUUCAUGGCACUCUGAAAAUCUUGUUGGUCACUUCCAAGAUCUUACCUUUCUUCUCCUCUCUGGUACCUGCUCUCAGUUUGUUCCAACUCCAUCACUUUUUCUUCGCCCGAAUGGAUCAACAGAGAAAUUUUGCACUUACCGAGAUGAGAAAAUCCGUUGAGAAGCUUGGUUCUUCUGCAGAGGGGUACGGAGACCACACACUGAUUAGGUUUUUGAUUGCUCGAUCAAUGGAAGUGGAAAAAGCUGCAAAAAUGUUUGUGCAGUGGCAAAAGUGGAGGAGUGCUAUGGUUCCUAAUGGAUUCAUUUCAGAAUCUGAAAUUCCAGAUGAACUGGAAGCAAGGAAAAUCUUCUUGCAGGGUUUGUCUGGAGAUAAAUUUCCUCUCAUGAUUGUUCAAACCAACAGACAUUUUCCUUCCAAGGAUCAGAUUCAAUUCAAGAAAUAUGUCAUAUAUAUACUGGACAAGACAAUUGCAAGUGCUUUCAAAGGAAGGGAGGUAGGGAAUGAGAAGUUGAUUGGGAUUAUUGAUCUACAAAACAUUUCAUAUAAAAAUAUUGAUGCACGUGGCUUGAUCACAGGAUUUCAAUUUUUACAGAGUUACUACCCUGAACGUUUGGCAAAGUGCUAUAUUUUGCACAUGCCAUGGUUUUUUGUGAGUGUUUGGAAACUAGUUUCUCGUUUCCUAGAGAAAGCUACCCUAGAAAAGUUUUGGUUGGUGAAUGCAGGUUGUAAUUGUGACCAAUGAGGAUGAGACGAGAGAGUUUGUAAGAGAGGUUGGUGAAGAGGUUCUUCCAGAAGUAUAUGGUGGAAAAGCCAAGCUUGUAGCAAUCCAAGAUGCUGAAUUGGAACCACUGCAAAAUGGAUCAAACUGAUUAAGGUGGAUUUUGGUUCGAGGCUGCUAUCGUUAUUCCCAACUUCAAUUACUAAGUGAUGCAAAAUGAGAAAUUCAAUCUAAAGUCAUUGAAUUCAUCACAAAAUAAAAAAUAACAUAAUUAUAAAUAAUUGAUUAGUCCUAAAGAUAAACUAAAUUAUAUAAAUAUCAUGUACUUAUGA